Molecule: ribosomal RNA, 253 nt
Filed under: uncultured bacterium
Lineage: Bacteria
Description: partial 16S ribosomal RNA
Rfam family: Bacterial small subunit ribosomal RNA
Source: RNAcentral
GACGAACUGUGCGAACGUUAUUCGGAAUCACUGGGCUUACAGGGUGCGUAGGCGGUUGUCUAAGUCCGAUGUGAAAUCCCCCGGCUCAACCGGGGAAUUGCGUUGGAAACUGGACGGCUUGAGUGAGGUAGGGGCGCGUGGAACUUCCGGUGGAGCGGUGAAAUGUGUUGAUAUCGGAAGGAACGCCGGUGGCGAAAGCGGCGCGCUGGGCCUCAACUGACGCUGAGGCACGAAAGCCAGGGGAGCGAACGGG